RNAcentral lists this ribosomal RNA (346 nucleotides) under uncultured bacterium. Its description in RNAcentral is "bacterial SSU rRNA". It matches the Rfam family "Bacterial small subunit ribosomal RNA", at positions 917 to 1266 of the family's 1533-position model. The record is from RNAcentral.
GGGCCCGCACAAGCGGUGGAGCAUGUGGUUUAAUUCGAUGAUACGCGAGGAACCUUACCAGGGCUUAAAUGCAGAACGACAGAGGUGGAAACACCUCCUUCUUCGGACGGUCUGCAAGGUGCUGCAUGGUUGUCGUCAGCUCGUGCUGUGAAGUGUCGGGUUAAGUCCCAUAACGAGCGCAACCCCUAUUUCUAGUUGCCAGCGGUUCGGCCGGGGACUCUAGAGAAACUGCCAGCGUAAGCUGUGAGGAAGGUGGGGAUGACGUCAAAUCAUCACGGCCCUUACGUCCUGGGCCACACACGUGCUACAAUGGUAGGUACAGAGGGAAGCCACCCCGCGAGGGGAG